Etheostoma cragini (Arkansas darter) is the source of this 149-nucleotide long non-coding RNA. RefSeq lists it as uncharacterized. The transcript is spliced from 2 exons. NCBI's taxonomy places the organism in Eukaryota, Metazoa, Chordata, Actinopteri, Perciformes, Percidae. The record is from RefSeq and is a predicted model, not a curated record.
AAAUUGUUGGUGUAUGGUGUUUAAUCCUGUUAAGAGAGUUAGUUGCGGGUUAUUAAUUGUUGUGUUAUAGAGUUACUACCAUGCGUGAGAACGGUACGCAGUUAACAGGGCUCCUGGUGCUGCUAUAUGAUGGAGAAAAAAAAAAAAAA